This 1592-nucleotide unclassified non-coding RNA is filed under the name uncultured fungus. RNAcentral's name for it is "sequence contains 18S rRNA gene, ITS1, 5.8S rRNA gene, ITS2, 28S rRNA gene". The stretch from base 567 to 1592 matches the Rfam family "Eukaryotic large subunit ribosomal RNA", at positions 1 to 961 of the family's 3401-position model. The record is from RNAcentral. Lineage: Eukaryota; Fungi.
GGUUGGAUCAUUACUAAAUGAUUUUCACUAGGCUUCUGAACUCGCAAGAGAUCGAGCCUAGUGUCUUUACACCCUGUGAACUUUAUCGUUUUUCGAGUGAGCUUUCGAUAGGGAUUUCCCUAGAGAUAUGCUUGCUCGGCCGUAACAAACCCCUUUUAAACUUGACUGAAUUUUUUAUUAUAUAAAAGAUAAACAACUUUUGACAACGGAUCUCUUGGCUCUCGCAACGAUGAAGAACGCAGCGAAAUGCGAUACGUAAUGUGAAUUGCAGAAUUCCGUGAAUCAUCAAAUCUUUGAACGCACAUUGCACUCAAUUUCGGUUGAGUAUGCCUGUUUGAGAAUCUAUAGUAUUUAUUUCCCAUUUUUGACUUUUACUAGUCUAAUUUGGGGAGACUUGGAGUUUCUGCCUAGGCAGUACUUUUAAAACUAUAGUUGACUCUGUGUCUCUAGCAACGGUUUAGAAUAGUGUCUGACACUUUUGCGACUGCUGCCGGAAAUACUCUUAGUAGUCGGCCUCUGACUUUUACUACGGUAAAGGUCUAUAAAACUCGCAGAGUUUUGAACCAUGGUCUCAAAUCAGGUAGGAAGACCCGCUGAACUUAAGCAUAUCAAUAAGCGGAGGAAAAGAAACUAACAAGGAUUCCCCUAGUAACGGCGAGUGAAGCGGGAACAGCUCAAAUUUGAAAUCUCACUGUUUCACAGUGCGAAUUGUAGUUUAGAGAAACGUUUUCUAGGCAGUCUUCUAGUACAAGUUCUUUGGAACGAGACAUCACAGAGGGUGAAAAUCCCGUCUAUGACUAGAGGUUCUGUCUUUUAUGAUACGUUUUCCAAGAGUCGGUUUGUUUGGGAAUGCAGACCAAAAUGGGUGGUAAAUACCAUCUAAAGCUAAAUAUUGGCGAGAGACCGAUAGCGAACAAGUACCGUGAGGGAAAGAUGAAAAGAACUUUGAAAAGAGAGUUAAACAGUACGUGAAAUUGUCAAAAGGGAAACGCUUGAAACCAGUAUUGUGGGCAGAAAUUCAGCUUUAGUUUACUAGAGUGUAUUUUUCUGUCUGCGAGUCAACAUCAGUUUUGAUUCAAGUAAAAAGCUAUGGGAAGGUAGCCUUCGGGUGUUAUAGCCUAUAGUCAUGCUUGGGCCGAGACUGAGGACUGCAGCGUUUUUUGGGUACCCCGUCGCCUUUUGAAGUAGCAAAGUUAAAUGCAUGCAGAUAACUUUGUCUAUCAGAAAGCCCGGCGGGUUUUCUACACCAACGCUUAGGAUGUUGACGAAAUGGUUUUAAGCGACCCGUCUUGAAACACGGACCAAGGAGUCUAACAUAUAUGCGAGUAUUUGGGUGGUAAACCCUUAUGCGUAGUGAAAGCGAAAGGUGGGAUUCUUUAUUGAUGCACCAUCGGCCGCGCCAGAUUAUUACUAUCUCGGCGUGAGUAUGAGCAUACAUGUUGGGACCCGAAAGAUGGUGAACUAUGCCUGAAUAGGGUGAAGCCAGAGGAAACUCUGGUGGAGGCUCGUAGCGGUUCUGACGUGCAAAUCGAUCGUCGAAUUUGGGUAUAGGGGCGAAAGACUAAUCGAACCAUCUAGUAGCUGGUUCCCUC